Molecule: ribosomal RNA, 466 nt
Filed under: uncultured Spirochaeta sp.
Lineage: Bacteria; Pseudomonadati; Spirochaetota; Spirochaetia; Spirochaetales; Spirochaetaceae
Description: bacterial SSU rRNA
Rfam family: Bacterial small subunit ribosomal RNA
Source: RNAcentral
CCUACGGGUGGCAGCAGCUAAGAAUCUUCCGCAAUGGGCGAAAGCCUGACGGAGCGAUGCCGCGUGAUCGAUGAAGGUCGAGAGAUUGUAAAGAUCUUUUCUAGGUGAGGAAUAAGUGUGGGAGGGAAUGCCCGCAUGAUGACGUUAACCUAGGAAUAAGCCCCGGCCAAUUACGUGCCAGCAGCCGCGGUAACACGUAAGGGGCGAGCGUUGUUCGGAAUUAUUGGGCGUAAAGGGCGUGCAGGCGGUUUUGCAAGUCUGAUGUGAAAGACCUGGGCUUAACUCAGGGACCGCGUUGGAAACUGUGAGACUAGAAUCUUGGAGGGGGAGUUGGAAUUCCUAGUGUAGGGGUGAAAUCUGUUGAUAUUAGGAAGAACACCGGUGGCGAAGGCGAACUCCUGGCCGAAGAUUGACGCUGAGGCGCGAAAGCGUAGGUAGCAAACAGGAUUAGAUACCCCAGUAGUCC